This 1262-nucleotide ribosomal RNA is filed under the name uncultured Bordetella sp. RNAcentral's name for it is "partial 16S-23S ribosomal RNA intergenic spacer". It matches the Rfam family "Bacterial small subunit ribosomal RNA", at positions 9 to 1306 of the family's 1533-position model. Lineage: Bacteria; Pseudomonadati; Pseudomonadota; Betaproteobacteria; Burkholderiales; Alcaligenaceae. The record is from RNAcentral.
GGCUCUGAUUAUGGCUCAGAUUGAACGCUGGUAUAGGGAUGCUUCAUUACGCAAAUGGAACGGCAAAGACGACUUCGGUCUGGUGGCGAGUGGCGAACGGGUGAGUAAUGUAUCGGAACGUGCCUAGUAGCGGGGGAUAACUACGCGAAAGCGUAGCCAAUACCGCAUACGGCCCUUCGGGGGAAAGCGGGGGACCUUCUUGGGCCCCAGAAAUUAUUAGAGCGGCCGAUAUCGGAUUAGCUAGUUGCGGCAAACGGCUCACCGCGACGAUCUCAGCUGGGUUUGGCGACGACCAGCCACACUGGGACUGAGACACGGCCCAGACUCCCUACGGGAGGCAGCAGUGAAUUUUGGACAAUGGGGGAAACCCCGAUCCAGCCAUCCCCGCGCAGCGAUACAGCCUUCGGCCAGAAAGCACUUUGGCAAAGAAAACGGCACGGGAGAUAAUACCCCCGUGCAACUGACGGUACCAAGAAUAAGCACCGGCUAACUACGUGCCAGCAGCCGCGGCAAUACGUAGGGUGCAAGUGUUAAUCGGAAUUACUGGCGUAAAGGCGGUGCAGGCGGUUCGGAAAGAAAGAGAUGGUAAACCAGAGCUUAACUUUGGAACUGCAUUUUUAACUACCGAGCUAGAGCAAGUCGAGGAGGUGAAUUCCAGGUAGCAGCAGAAAUGCGUAGAUAUGCGAGGAACACCGACAGGCGAAGGCAGUCAUAACACUGACGUUCAUGCACGAAAGCGUGGGGAGCAAACAGGAUUAGUACCCAGGUUCACGCCCUAAACGAUGUCAACUAGCUGUUGGGGCCUUCGGGCCUGGUAGCGCAGCUAACGCGUGAAGUUGACCGCCUGGGGAGUACGGUCGCAAGAUUAAAACUCAAAGGAAUGAUGAAUCGCACAAGCGGUGGAUGAUGUGGAUUAAUUCGAUGCAACGCGAAAACCUUACCUACCUUUAUGAUACGUUCGGAAUCCCGAAGAGAUUUGGGAGUGCUCGCAAGAGAACCGGAAGAGGUGUUGCAUGGCUGUCGUCAGCCGUGUCGUGAGAUGUUGGGCAGCCCCGCAACGAGCGCAACCCUUGUCAUUAGUUGCUGCCGAAAGGGCACUCUAAUGUGAGAUCAAACAGACAAACUGAGUGAAGGUGGGGAUGACGUCGUCCUCAUGGCCCUUAUGGGUAGGUCAUUAUCGUCGCACAAUGGUCGGGACAGAGGGUCGCCAACCUGGCGAGGGGGAGCCAAUCCCAGAAACCCGAUCAGUCCGAUCGCAGUCU